UUAACUAUUAUGUAGUACUCAGACAACACAAUUAAAGAAUGUUGGGUCCUCUGGCGGGCACAGACCAGCUGAAGCCGGUGGUCAUGAGACGGGCCCGCCAAAGCAACAAAGGUAUUGUAAACAAAGGGUGGGAGAUAUACCCCAAGGGGCAUGUUCUCUGUAAUGAUCCUUCCGCAGGUUCACCUACGGAAA
Molecule: unclassified non-coding RNA, 192 nt
Filed under: uncultured fungus
Lineage: Eukaryota; Fungi
Description: sequence contains ITS1
Source: RNAcentral